UGCAAGUCGAACGGUUAAAGCACCUCCGGGGUGUGUAUAAAGUGGCGAACGGCUGAGUAACACGUGGGCAACCUGCCCCUCGCUCCGGGACAGCCUCGGGAAACUGGGAGUAAUACCGGAUACUCCGCCACCCCCGCAUGGGGGAGGCGGGAAAGCCCUUACGGCGAGGGAUGGGCCCGCGGCCUGUUAGCUUGUUGGUGGGGUAACGGCCUACCAAGGCGAUUAUGGGUAGCUGGGUUGAGAGACCGACCAGCCAGAUUGGGACUGAGACACGGCCCAAACUCCUACGGGAGGCAGCAGUGGGGAAUCUUGCACAAUGGGCGAAAGCCUGAUGCCAGCGACGCCGCGUGCGGGAUGAAGGCCUUCGGGUUGUAAACCGCUUUCAGUGGGGACGAGGCCGCGAGGUGACGGUACCCACAGAAGAAGCCCCGGCUAACUACGUGCCAGCAGCCGC
RNAcentral lists this ribosomal RNA (454 nucleotides) under uncultured bacterium. RNAcentral describes it as "bacterial SSU rRNA". It matches the Rfam family "Bacterial small subunit ribosomal RNA", at positions 56 to 518 of the family's 1533-position model. The record is from RNAcentral.